RNAcentral lists this long non-coding RNA (239 nucleotides) under Elaeis guineensis (African oil palm). RNAcentral describes it as "long non-coding RNA (EGUI_LNC040669)". Lineage: Eukaryota; Viridiplantae; Streptophyta; Magnoliopsida; Arecales; Arecaceae. The record is from RNAcentral.
CCUCAACUUUAAUCUAAUUUUAUUUAUAUUUUUUAUAUUUAAAAAAAUAUCAAACUGGCUCUUCUAAUUAUCGAUAUAUUCUAAUGUAGUCUAGCUAUUCACUUACCAACAAAUGAUGUUAGCUUUUCUUUCCAAUAGAUAGAAAUGCCCCUCACUCAUAGAAAGGAUUGUCGGUGAGGCAAAGAUGGAGGAGGAGAGUGCUAUCGUGAAGAAGGAGGAUAGGGUCGUGGAGGUCGGCA